GGCUCAGGACGAACAUAUACUAUCCUUUCCUGUGGACUUGUCAAUGUGUCUAAACCGCUCUUCCGCGAGUGUUGCCCUCUCUCACUGUCCCGUCGCGCCAAAUUCACGCCCUUCCCGAGUUUGUCUCGACAGACUGCAUGCCCUCCGGCUCGCGCAAUGCUCACUCUGUUCCCUCUUUUCAUUGGGUCCGUUAAUGCUGAGAAGGCAGCGGAUCGCCCAUGAUGACGACCUUUGACCCCAUUGCCACCAUCAUCCUCAUUUGGGUUCCCCUUUUUGUCCGAAAAACCGCCACGGUGACCGAAAAAGACUCGUAUGUCUGGUUACCAUAUUAUAUUCGCAAAGUAGCAGAGCAGUUCAUUUAUACGAUCAAACUGACGUGCAGGCAUGAGAGAACGUGCUUUGUCUGAUGCAUGGCACGUUAACACCGCAGAAAGGGGUGAUGGUGUUAUGCUGUAUCGCUUGGGCUGUGAAAGUUUCCGCAUCGAGCGACCACCUCAGCUACUACAACAGCCAUCUAUGAUCUGAUGGAGAGCGAUGGGGUCAUUUUCAGCUUAGCGACAGUCACACAGCCAGAGUUUGGGUCCUGGAUGACGACGACAGCUGGCCUUCCUGGUUUUCUGGCGGACAGUCCCAUGGUCGACGGAGAUUGUGCCAUGCAAUUAAUGUAUGCAUCGUGG
Molecule: non-coding RNA, 677 nt
Organism: Neurospora crassa OR74A
Lineage: Eukaryota; Fungi; Ascomycota; Sordariomycetes; Sordariales; Sordariaceae
Source: RefSeq, a predicted model, not a curated record